UUGCAGCAGCCGCAGAACACUAAUAAUAUACAUCAGUGGAAAACAAGGUGGAGUUACAUAAAAGACAUCUUUUGAGCAGUCUGAGCCUUUUACUCACUUGGUCUGGUCAUUCAGUACCAAGUUUAAACCCUGGACCUGGUCUUCUGAACUCAGUAAUGCAAACAUCCCAUCUCCAUCCACAAUGGCCAGUUGACCAAAGGACCGACAUCUGCAAGGCUUCCCAAUCAUCCUACGCAAACAGAAUUCAGAGGAAACAGGGUGGAGACUGACUGCAGGAUCUUUUGGAGGAUCCAAGAGAAUGAGACCCUCCCCAAAGCUUCUCUUCUGCUGAGAUUCCUUUGCUUAAUACAUAGUAUUGCCAUCCACCAGUUUCACAAACUAGAAACCUAGGAAUCACUCUAGACUUGCUUUUUUAAUUAAAUUUACAUCAUUGAA
Molecule: long non-coding RNA, 435 nt
Organism: Hyaena hyaena (striped hyena)
Lineage: Eukaryota; Metazoa; Chordata; Mammalia; Carnivora; Hyaenidae
Exons: 2
Source: RefSeq, a predicted model, not a curated record